RNAcentral lists this ribosomal RNA (219 nucleotides) under uncultured bacterium. Its description in RNAcentral is "partial 16S ribosomal RNA". It matches the Rfam family "Bacterial small subunit ribosomal RNA", at positions 524 to 740 of the family's 1533-position model. The record is from RNAcentral.
UACGAAGGGGGCUAGCGUUGUUCGGAUUUACUGGGCGUAAAGCGCACGUAGGCGGUUUGUUAAGUCAGGGGUGAAAUCCCAGGGCUCAACCCUGGAACUGCCUUUGAUACUGUCGAUCUGGAGUAUGGAAGAGGUGAGUGGAAUUCCGAGUGUAGAGGUGAAAUUCGUAGAUAUUCGGAGGAACACCAGUGGGCGAAGGCGGCUCACUGGUACCAUUAC